This is a long non-coding RNA of Etheostoma cragini (Arkansas darter), 152 nucleotides long. RefSeq lists it as uncharacterized. The record is from RefSeq and is a predicted model, not a curated record. Lineage: Eukaryota; Metazoa; Chordata; Actinopteri; Perciformes; Percidae. The transcript is spliced from 3 exons.
GAACGACACAUAAGUGACGUAGAAAGCCAUGCAGAUUUUGAACAGCUGACCCAGCUACUGAAGGCAGGACACAUUCAGGCACAUGUAUCUCACUCAAAAUAGCAUGGAUAGUUUGAUAGUGUGUAUGUGUGUGGAAGCACCAGAGACACAAA